Molecule: transfer RNA, 85 nt
Filed under: Bacteroidota bacterium
Lineage: Bacteria; Pseudomonadati; Bacteroidota
Also listed under: 1 other name
Description: tRNA-Leu
Rfam family: tRNA
About the family: Transfer RNA (tRNA) molecules are approximately 80 nucleotides in length. Their secondary structure includes four short double-helical elements and three loops (D, anti-codon, and T loops).
Source: RNAcentral
GCCCAGGUGGUGGAAUUGGUAGACACGCAGGACUUAAAAUCCUGUGGCCUCACAGCCGUGCGGGUUCAAGUCCCGCCCCGGGUAC